This is a long non-coding RNA of Chelonia mydas (Green sea turtle), 800 nucleotides long. RefSeq lists it as uncharacterized. The record is from RefSeq and is a predicted model, not a curated record. Lineage: Eukaryota; Metazoa; Chordata; Testudines; Cheloniidae. The transcript is spliced from 3 exons.
GCUGAGAGAGGAUACUAAUGGAUUAGUCAACACCCAUGUUUAAUUAGUUUGUCUAGAUCAGAGCAGUGCUGACUGGAAUGUGUGCUGGCUUCUAAACAGAAGGAGCUCAGGCAAACCACGUAGAGGAGUUACUGGCGCUCACUGCACCAGGGCAAUGGAAAAGUCCAGAACAUUACAUCUCUGGAUUGGAGAAAUGGCCUGCGCAAUUCACUUACUGAAGAUGAGACUCUAGCACUGUAAGCUACUGAACCUUUCGUGCAGGAAGAUCUGCCACCAGAUCCAGAAUGUCUCUUCUGUAGUUUGGUUGUCAACAGUUCUCCAGUCCUAAAAGGAAGAGUGCCCGAAUGCAUUUCUAGUUAGCGAUAGUACCAGAACUACUGGAAGGCCAUUUUGGCUUCCAAAAAAGUUUCAGAACAACAUUCCAGAGUGUUCUGGCUUGAAUUGAACCAUAGCUGUCAAAUCCCCAUUGGAAGGCUUCAACGCUUGUCCACACAAUUUGAUGAUUACUCUUGACAUUGUAAAGCAAGAACUUCAAGAUAUUAGAUGUAGAUAAUUAGGGGAAUUCAAAUCAAGAUGACUGUAUAUGUAUUAAUAUGCAUCUCCUUACCUUUUAUUUCAUCAGCUUGUUGAAUAUAUGGCUUUCAUUAUUCUGUGUGAUUUUGCAUUCAGGCACAUAUGUUUUUAACGUUGGCCACAUUAAAAAAAACUACAAUAUUAAUAAAAGUGUCUGGAAAUAACUUUUAGACUCUAAUCAUAAAAUUUUCAUCUCAAAUUCAUAAAUUGAGGCAAAUCUGCCCCUC